GAUGAAGAACGCAGCGAAAUGCGAUAAGUAGUGUGAAUUGCAGACUAGAGUGAAUCAUCGAGUUUUUGAACGCAUGUUGCGCUCUCUGGUAGUCCGGGGAGCAUGCUUGGCUGAGGGUCGGUAAAACCAUCUCUACUUUUUAGAGGUCUAUGGGUGUCAAUCCGGUUGCCUCUUUGGAUAACUGGUCACCUGAAAUAAUAGGCUCCGCUGCGUUUUUUGCGGACUCGUGUAGUAAGCUGUUAAGUUAGCAUGACUCACGAAAGCCGAAUGCAAGUGAAGAAGCCAUGUUUUGGUUUUUCGAAACCAAAUGCGUCUUGCGGCGCACUUUUCUUAUUCCUGACCUCAGAUCAAGCAAGAACACCCGCUGAACUUAAGCAUAUCAAUAAGCGGAGGA
Molecule: unclassified non-coding RNA, 394 nt
Filed under: soil metagenome
Description: partial contains 5.8S ribosomal RNA, internal transcribed spacer 2, and large subunit ribosomal RNA
Rfam family: 5.8S ribosomal RNA (bases 1-120)
Source: RNAcentral